UUGGCUGAGAAAAUUGGAGGUUAUAAAGGUAAGUAAAAAGAUUUAAGAGCUCAUGAAACAUGAUUUUUCCAUUACCUAUCACGGUCUAUAAAAACCAUGUGAAUACUGAAAUAAAUAAUUCCUUUCUAGUAAUAAAUACGAAAAGGAGGUUUUGUACUUAAAAUGGAUAAAAAUCCAUGGAUUCACCCAGCAACUUUAUCCUUCAAAGUCUUGAAACAGAGUGCAUUAAAGCUCUAAUAACAAAUUAACAACAGCACCCGAGCAUAGUCACUGAUAUAUACAACAGUAUACGUAUAUUUGCAGUAAUAAUUCUAAUUUUCAAGUUUCUCCAUAUUAAAAACAGAUUUUACUAAAGAGUAAACAAACACCAUUAAUAUAAAUAUACAACUAUGAAAAUUAAUCCAUGAACCGACAAGUUCAGAAAGUAAGCGUUUAUUCCAAAUCCCAAACAUUUGAACAGUAAAAUUAGGGGAAAACAAAAAAAGGAUAAAAAAAAAACUGGUAAAUAUAGGAAUUAAAUAAAAAUUAAAGGGAUAGACCUCAGCCAUGGCCCGAACUGAAAAGGGGAUAGAGCUCGUUCUGCUCGCCAAACGCGAAGACGACAGGCGGAACGAACCACCAGAGAAAGAGUUAGACGACGAAAACGAAGAAAUUGCAGAUUUGCGAAGAUUCACAGGCGCGAAGGAACAAACAGGACUCGCAGCUUUCGCGCGUGGGAAACUCCUUGGCGCUGAAAUUGAGCUCAUAUUCGACUGAAAGAGAGAAAUGAAAGCAGACAUUCAACGAGAAAGUAAAAAAGUGAAAUGCGAAUUCGUAGCUGAUUAGUAACGAGAAAUAAAUGGAAACACAAUUAAAAAAAAUUAGGGUUUGGGGUGGGUGGAGUUACCAGAGAUGCAUAGGAAACCGCCAUUGCCGGUGAUUUUCUCUCUCUAGGUCACUGUGUACAGAGAGGGGGUUUCUGUGUGUUGUGUGGAGAAGAGAGGAUAAU
Molecule: long non-coding RNA, 988 nt
Filed under: Erythranthe guttata (spotted monkey flower)
Lineage: Eukaryota; Viridiplantae; Streptophyta; Magnoliopsida; Lamiales; Phrymaceae
Description: long non-coding RNA (EGUT_LNC001083)
Source: RNAcentral